Molecule: ribosomal RNA, 465 nt
Filed under: uncultured bacterium
Lineage: Bacteria
Description: partial 16S ribosomal RNA
Rfam family: Bacterial small subunit ribosomal RNA
Source: RNAcentral
AUGAACGCUGGCGGCGUGCUUAACACAUGCAAGUCGAACGAUGAAGCCCAGCUUGCUGGGUGGAUUAGUGGCGAACGGGUGAGUAACACGUGAGUAACCUGCCCUUGACUCUGGGAUAAGCCUGGGAAACUGGGUCUAAUACUGGAUAUGACUUCUCAUCGCAUGGUGGGGGGUGGAAAGAUUUAUUGGUCUUGGAUGGACUCGCGGCCUAUCAGCUUGUUGGUGAGGUAAUGGCUCACCAAGGCGACGACGGGUAGCCGGCCUGAGAGGGUGACCGGCCACACUGGGACUGGGACACGGCCCAGACUCCUACGGGAGGCAGCAGUGGGGAAUAUUGCACAAUGGGCGCAAGCCUGAUGCAGCGACGCCGCGCGAGGGAUGACGGCCUUCGGGUUGUAAACCUCUUUCAGUAGGGAAGAAGCGAGAGUGACGGUACCUGCAGAAGAAGCGCCGGCUAACUACGUG